GUGGGGAAUAUUGGACAAUGGGGGCAACCCUGAUCCAGCAAUGCCGCGUGUGUGAAGAAGGCCUUCGGGUUGUAAAGCACUUUCGAUGGGGAAAAACAAGCCAGACCUAACACGUCUGGCCCUGAUGGUACCCAGAGAAGAAGCACCGGCUAACUCUGUGCCAGCAGCCGCGGUAAUACAGAGGGUGCAAGCGUUAAUCGGAAUUACUGGGCGUAAAGGGUGCGUAGGUGGUUUUUUAAGUCAGAUGUGAAAUCCCUGGGCUCAACCUGGGAACUGCAUUUGAUACUGGAAGACUCGAGUGUGGUAGAGGGUAGUGGAAUUCCGCAUGUAGCGGUGAAAUGCGUAGAGAUGCGGAGGAACACCAGUGGCGAAGGCGGCUACCUGGACCAACACUGACACUGAGGCACGAAAGCGUGGGGAUCAAACAGGAUUAGAAACCCCGGUAGUCC
Molecule: ribosomal RNA, 449 nt
Filed under: uncultured bacterium
Lineage: Bacteria
Description: bacterial SSU rRNA
Rfam family: Bacterial small subunit ribosomal RNA
Source: RNAcentral